CUGCAUGUGGAAAUAUCUGCUCCUCAUUCCGUUAGGAGCAGGAUGACUUCCAUAACAUGCUAUAUUAAUAAAGGAGUUCUCAGGGCUACCAACCUUACAGUAGAGAUUGAGUAGUAGUAUAUUUCUCUUACACAA
Echinops telfairi (small Madagascar hedgehog) is the source of this 135-nucleotide small nucleolar RNA. The record is from Ensembl. Lineage: Eukaryota; Metazoa; Chordata; Mammalia; Afrosoricida; Tenrecidae.